UUGAAGACUGGUGGUGGACCCCCAGAAAGAACAGAGACCAAUGACCUGGGAGACAUGUUGACUGUGAUCAUUGAUAGCCAGCGAACCCUGGAAGGUAUCUCCGAUGAUGAUCAUAUGGACAGUUCAGACGGGGCACCAUUCCAAUCCUCAUUUGGUCAUCACCAGUGCUUGGAGGGCCUAAGACAGGAUGAAUGUCAGCCCACUACAUCUGCAGCAGCCAGGAGGGAAGAUGGAGGGAAGAUUUUGUUACCAAUUCAUGGCAAUUGUCUUCAAUAAUAAGAAAGAUCUGGGUCCUUCUCAUCAAUUUGAGCAUCUGGGCAGCCAUGCUGUUUGAAGUAAUUGUGAUGGACCGCUGUUACAAUUAUGACAAUACAGCAUCUUCUUGUGGUUGGAUUGAUUUCCUGCCUGUU
Molecule: long non-coding RNA, 410 nt
Organism: Esox lucius (northern pike)
Lineage: Eukaryota; Metazoa; Chordata; Actinopteri; Esociformes; Esocidae
Exons: 3
Source: RefSeq, a predicted model, not a curated record